This 467-nucleotide ribosomal RNA is filed under the name uncultured bacterium. RNAcentral describes it as "partial 16S ribosomal RNA". It matches the Rfam family "Bacterial small subunit ribosomal RNA", at positions 28 to 507 of the family's 1533-position model. The record is from RNAcentral.
GACGAACGCUGGCGGCGUGCUUAACACAUGCAAGUCGAACGGAAAGGCCUCAGCUUGCUGGGGUACUCGAGUGGCGAACGGGUGAGUAACACGUGGGCGAUCUGCCUUGCACUCUGGGAUAAGCUUGGGAAACUGGGUCUAAUACCGGAUAUGAACUGCCUUUAGUGUGGUGGUUGGAAAGUUUUUUCGGUGCAAGAUGAGCUCGCGGCCUAUCAGCUUGUUGGUGGGGUAAUGGCCUACCCAGGCGUCGACGGGUAGCCGGCCUGAGGGGGUGUACGGCCACAUUGGGACUGAGAUACGGCCCAGACUCCUACGGGAGGCAGCAGUGGGGAAUAUUGCACAAUGGGCGGAAGCCUGAUGCAGCGACGCCGCGUGGGGGAUGACGGCCUUCGGGUUGUAAACUCCUUUCGACAGGGACGAAGCUUUUUGUGACGGUACCUGUAUAAGAAGCACCGGCUAACUACGUG